Molecule: ribosomal RNA, 706 nt
Filed under: uncultured Bacillota bacterium
Lineage: Bacteria; Bacillati; Bacillota
Description: bacterial SSU rRNA
Rfam family: Bacterial small subunit ribosomal RNA
Source: RNAcentral
CGAGGGAGGGUUGCUCGGGAGCUUGCUCCCGGGUCCAACUCUACCGGCGAACGGGUGAGUAACACGUGGGCAACCUACCCCGAAGACGGGGAUAACCUCGGGAAACCGGGGCUAAUACCCGAUACCCUGUGCGGGUCGCAUGGCCUGCAGAGGAAAGGGUUCCGAAAGGUUCUGCUUCGGGAUGGGCCCGCGGCGUAUCAGCUAGUUGGUGGGGUAACGGCCCACCAAGGCGAUGACGCGUAGCUGGCCUGAGAGGGUGGUCAGCCACACUGGGACUGAGACACGGCCCAGACUCCUACGGGAGGCAGCAGUUGGGAACCUUGGGCAAUGGGCGAAAGCCUGACCCAGCGACGCCGCGUGCGGGAUGAAGGCCUUCGGGUCGUAAACCGCUGUCAGGGGGGAAGAAGCCGGCUUGCCGGUGACGGUACCCUCAGAGGAAGCCCCGGCUAACUACGUGCCAGCAGCCGCGGUAAGGCGUAUGGGGCGAGCGUUGGCCGGAUUUCUGGGCGUAAAGCGCGUGCAGGCGGCCCGUUAGUCGCGUGUGAACCCUUCUGCUCACCGAAUGAGGCCCGGGAGACUGGCGGCUUGAGGCGGUGAGGGGGUGGAAGCCCGGUGUCCUCUCAACGUGUAGAACCUUAACCACGACUAGCUGAACGCCGCACCCCACCCGAAUAACUUUUCGCAAACUUGGUCUGCGAACAUGCUA